UACAGAGGGUGCAAGCGUUAAUCGGAAUUACUGGGCGUAAAGCGUGCGUAGACGGUUACAUAAGUCGGGUGUGAAAGCCCCGGGCUCAACCUGGGAAUUGCAUUCGAGACUGCGUAGCUAGGGUGCGGAAGAGGGAAGCGGAAUUUCCGGUGUAGCGGUGAAAUGCGUAGAUAUCGGAAGGAACGCCCGUGGCGAAAGCGAGGUCCUGGACGCCUACUGACGCUGAGACGCGAAAGCCAGGGGAGCGAACGGGG
This 254-nucleotide ribosomal RNA is filed under the name uncultured bacterium. RNAcentral describes it as "partial 16S ribosomal RNA". It matches the Rfam family "Bacterial small subunit ribosomal RNA", at positions 524 to 777 of the family's 1533-position model. The record is from RNAcentral.